UCAAAUCAAAAUUUUUCUUCGAGCUGUCAUGACACAGCCCGAACAUCCUCCCCCAGGCGUUGACUCAAGAUGAAGAAUUAUCCAAGACUGGGAGCGGUGCAAGUUUGUGUAUAGGACGCUUCACACCUGGUCCGGAUAUCAGCAACUCGAAUAAAUCCAUCCGUUCCAGAAUAAACCUUAUGGAUUACUCCCAGCUUCCAAACGUGAGAUGAAAUUGUUUCGAAGUACCUGCACGUACUGCCAUCGCGACAGCCUGUUGAUUGGGAUCUCCUCGUACGUUGGCUCCGGUAUUGCCGUUAAAGGACGACCGAUCAUAAAGUGACCAGGAGUCAGUGGUUCGGGGUCUGUAGCAUCUUCUGAAUGUGCAUACAGAGACCGUGAAUUCAGCAAGGCCUGAUUUGACAAAGCAGCGUCGAAAACUCCAUCAAGUUGAGUGAAGCAGUGUCAUAAAUCCUUUUCAAAAUUGAGUUGGUGCUCUUGACUCCUGCCUCCCAAAGGCCACCCAUAUGUGGCGAACUUGGUGGUAUCAUUCUCCAGCGCAUUUCACGUGGUUGGUAAAAUACAUUUAUCUUCCUUUUUGUUAUUUGCUCCUUGAACAGGUUGGACAACACAUGCAAUUCCCUCUUGGCGCCCACAAAAUUGGUUCCGUUGCAGAAAACAACUCCUCUGGAACACCCCUUUGGGAUACGAAUCUGUGCAGUGCAGCAAUGAACGCAUCCCAGGUCAGAUUCUCCACCACCUCCAAAUGAAUCCCCUUGGUCACCAUGCACACGAAUACGCAAACAUAUCCCUUUACCGGAGCAGCCUUUCUACUGGUUUGCUUGAUUAAAAAAGGGCCGGCAAAGUCCAACCCCACCUGUUGGAAUGCUGGAGCGCACAGACGGAAGGUCUCCCAUGAAUUUUUCUGCAGCAGUGGGAUUAACCUUGAAGCAUUUAACGGUUGCUAGCAAAGCAGUUGGUCCGAUGUGCAGAUUCUCGCGGUGGAUGCACCGCAUAUAACUUUGAACCACGGGGCUUCUAUUUGGCAAGAUCCACUGAUGCUUGCUCAGGUACGGUAAUUGCGAAUGGCGCAGACGACCACCAGCUCGCAAUAGCUCACCAUCAAAAAAGGGGUUCAAGGAUUUAAGCUUCUUGGAGGACUCACCUGAUUUCAUUCUCACGAUCUCUUCUGCAAACUCUUGACGCUGUACCACAAAUACUAUUACCUUCAUUGCAUCUUGCAUCUCAGGUAUAAUUGGAAAUGUCGAUAGCACACGCUUCUCCUUAAUUCUUUCUUUCUUGUAAACACAGGUAACAGUUCAAGUUCCACUGUGGUACUGACGAAAACCGUGGUCUUGAGUUCGGGAAUAUCUUCAUCUGGCAACGGUUCAGGAACAUCCAUUUGGCAUUCUUCACUUCUCAAAAACAUUGGUCCGUUCCACCACAGAUCACUUGUGGCCAAAAUUUCGGCAGAAAGCCCACGGGACACUAUAUCAGCAGGAUUUUCUGCAGUGUUCACAUACUUCCACGAAAAAUAAUUUCCGCUAGAAGUAAUCUCACCAACUCUAUUUCUUACAAACACUUCCAGCUGUUCGAGAUUUUUCUUCAGCCAGGCUAACACGAUUUGGCUGUCUAAACUCAACACUAUUUUCCGGAAGGGUAGUUUCAAAGUUUCCAACACUUUCUUCACUAGACGAUGCAACAACACAGCUGCCAAGAGUUCUUUUCGCGGAACCGUCAGUACUGGCUUCGGCACUAUCUUCAACUUUGCAGUCAAAAUCUUCACCUCAUGGGACUUUCCAAGAACAAUUGAUCUUAUGUAAACGCAUGCUCCGUAAGCUUCCAAGGACGCAUCUCCGAACCCAUUGAUCUCAAAGGCAGUAGCAUCAGAUGACACCACUCGACAAGGGAUUCGGAUCUUCUUCACACCACUUAAGCACUUCAAGAACAUCUUCCCAACGACAAUCACCGGUGCAGCUAACCCCAGAGGGUCGAACAUACUUGCAACUAACGACAGUACUUGGCGCUUCGUCGGCUUUGUUAUCUCAGGAAAUGGCUUUGCAACGAAGAUCAGUUCAUCCGAGGACGGGUUCCACAGCAGACCAAGUGUUUUGAUCACUUCGUUCACUCCAGUUCCUUUUAAUGUUCACCAAUUCUUCACGAUCAACUUCUGGUAUAUGCUCGACUAGAUCUGGACAGUUUGAAGCCCACUUGUGCAAAUGAAAUCCACCUGCCUCCAAGAGAUGGAUGAGCUGCGACUGUGCUUCUGCGACAUUAUCUACAUAAAAACAGUUCUUGACAAUUUUGGCUGCCAAUGGAAAAUUGUGCCCUUCAUCGAGUGC
Molecule: long non-coding RNA, 2321 nt
Organism: Ochlerotatus camptorhynchus
Lineage: Eukaryota; Metazoa; Arthropoda; Insecta; Diptera; Culicidae
Exons: 4
Source: RefSeq, a predicted model, not a curated record